GCUACAUUUAGACCUUCGAUUCACCGAGCAAUAGUACCCGCUCGGUGGAAGAUCUUCCCUAUGUCGU
RNAcentral lists this microRNA precursor (67 nucleotides) under Bombyx mori (domestic silkworm). Its description in RNAcentral is "mir-2774 microRNA precursor family". It matches the Rfam family "mir-2774 microRNA precursor family". The record is from Rfam by way of RNAcentral. Lineage: Eukaryota; Metazoa; Arthropoda; Insecta; Lepidoptera; Bombycidae.